GAAAGGAAAGCAGAGUUACCUCGAAUGCCUUCAGCCCAAUACGCCCAUAGCCUGUGGGCAUUCGAGCGGCUAACAAGCCCAGGCCCAUAUUCUCGAAGCUACCUUCCUAGGGUUUCGCUUCUUGUAACCCCCCAGUGCGCCUCCCUUUCUCCCACUCCCCCCACUCCCCACCACAAGACCGCCGCCGCCGCCGCAGGAGGAGGAGAAGCAGCAGGGGCGAGAAGGAGAUCUCGCGAGGAGGCGACCGACCAUGAGGGCCAAGUGGAAGAAGAAGCGCAUGAGGAGGCUGAAGAGGAAGCGCCGAAAGAUGAGGCAGCGAUCCAAGUAGGCUGAUGGGGGUGGUGACGGUGUGCUGUAGCUUCCUAUGUGUGUCUUUGGCUGCGGCUGACUGCGGGCGUACUUGCUUGGCAUGGUGGCGCCAUUCUUCUCAUCUGUCAACUCGCUUAUUCCAGAAACCUGCACUUUAGUAGGCCUGUUAUCGUUGCUUUUAGUUGUACCAGGAGUUUUGCUAUCAUGACCAAUCUAUCCAACUGUAUGAACUCUGUUUUGGAGCUUUAUUUGCUGCUAAUAUUCGGCCAUCAAGUACUUCAUGCUUUUGCAUGCAUCA
This is a long non-coding RNA of Triticum urartu, 607 nucleotides long. RefSeq lists it as uncharacterized. NCBI's taxonomy places the organism in Eukaryota, Viridiplantae, Streptophyta, Magnoliopsida, Poales, Poaceae. The record is from RefSeq and is a predicted model, not a curated record.